CCUACGGGAGGCAGCAGUAGGGAAUCUUCCACAAUGGGCGAAAGCCUGAUGGAGCAACGCCGCGUGGGUGAAGAAGGUCUUCGGAUCGUAAAACCCUGUUGUUAGAGAAGAAAGUGCGUGAGAGUAACUGUUCACGUUUCGACGGUAUCUAACCAGAAAGCCACGGCUAACUACGUGCCAGCAGCCGCGGUAAUACGUAGGUGGCAAGCGUUAUCCGGAUUUAUGGGGCGUAAAGGGAACGCAGGCGGUCUUUUAAGUCUGAUGUGAAAGCCUUCGGCUUAACCGGAGUAGUGCAUUGGAAACUGGGAGACUUGAGUGCAGAAGAGGAGAGUGGAACUCCAUGUGUAGCGGUGAAAUGCGUAGAUAGAUGGAAGAACACCAGUGGCGAAAGCGGCUCUCUGGUCUGUAACUGACGCUGAGGUUCGAAAGCGUGGGUAGCAAACAGGAUUAGAUACCCCUGUAGUC
Molecule: ribosomal RNA, 465 nt
Filed under: uncultured bacterium
Lineage: Bacteria
Description: partial 16S ribosomal RNA
Rfam family: Bacterial small subunit ribosomal RNA
Source: RNAcentral